Molecule: ribosomal RNA, 401 nt
Filed under: uncultured bacterium
Lineage: Bacteria
Description: bacterial SSU rRNA
Rfam family: Bacterial small subunit ribosomal RNA
Source: RNAcentral
GGGAAUAUUAGAAAUGGACGCAAGUCUGAUCUAGCAACACCGCGUGUGCGAAGAAGGCCUUCGGGUCGUAAAGCACUUUUUGGAAGGAAUAGGAAGGAAUGUACUUCCAGAAUAAGUCUCGGCUAACUACGUGCCAGCAGCCGCGGUAACACGUAGGAGGCAAACGUUAUCCGGAUUUACUGGGCGUAAAGCGCGUGUAGGUGGUACUGUAAGUAGGGCGUGAAAGCUCCUGGCUCAACUGGGAGAGGCCGUUCUAAACUACAGAACUAGAGGAUGGUAGAGGGAGGUGGAAUUCCAGGUGUAGCGGUGGAAUGCGCAGAUAUCUGGAGGAACACCGGUGGCGAAGGCGGCCUCCUGGACCAUUCCUGACACUCAGACGCGAAAGCUAGGGUAGCAAACGG